AACAGCUUGACCUCUGGAGGCACUGGAGACAAAGAUCAGCCACAUGGCAGUCAACCAUGUCUAUCUGACCAAGUUCCAAUGAAAACUCUGGACACCAAGGCUUGUGUGAGCUUCCCCAGUUGUACAUGUAUUGAUUUAUACACUUGGAGAUAUUUCUCAAAAGACUCCUCUGCGGGAGAGGAGAAUAGAGAAAGAAAGAAAACAACUGUGUAAGCAGACAUCAGUGUAAACCUUAGCACUGUCUCUUGAUGAGAUAAGAGGAGGAUGGCAG
Molecule: long non-coding RNA, 271 nt
Organism: Pan troglodytes (chimpanzee)
Lineage: Eukaryota; Metazoa; Chordata; Mammalia; Primates; Hominidae
Exons: 3
Source: RefSeq, a predicted model, not a curated record